GGAGUUACUUUGGCCUCUUUAUUUUAGUUUCAAUGGAACAAAACUAAUUCAACUAGGACCUGAAGAUUUCCAGAUGAAGAAACUUUAAGAUUUUUUUCUUCUAUGAUCCCAAUUUACCCUUCUAGCUGAAGUCUCAUACAGUGAGAUGAUACUUUUCUCUCCACUGGUGGAUCGCUGAAAAGUGCAAAGGGGUGAAUGAUCCAGAAUUGAGCAUUGCCCUCUGGAUUGAACCCUGAUGAAAGAAACUACAGUAUUGACAGCUGGCAAGCCUUUGAAAGAGCUGAGAAGGUAUUAAAGCAAAUAGCUGCCUUUAAUCUGAAAGUAAAUCCAACUGAA
Molecule: long non-coding RNA, 336 nt
Organism: Pantherophis guttatus
Lineage: Eukaryota; Metazoa; Chordata; Lepidosauria; Squamata; Colubridae
Source: RefSeq, a predicted model, not a curated record